This is a non-coding RNA of Anas platyrhynchos (mallard), 3097 nucleotides long. The record is from RefSeq and is a predicted model, not a curated record. Lineage: Eukaryota; Metazoa; Chordata; Aves; Anseriformes; Anatidae.
UUUCAAUUUCUAAUGUGACUGACGUUUAUGGCAGUUUGGGUACAGCUUUGGUAUCCUCUUGCAAGCCAAGAGCACCGUGGGCUCCCGUUGUAACCCUGGCUCCUGGGCUCUUAAACUCUAAAGAAUGGAGCAACACUUCGUUAGCAGUGCAAUUCUUUUCCCUGGUGCUGUCCAGGAGAAAAUGGCCCGAUGUCCCCAGCAGAUUUCAAUUCAGCAGUGAGAGAAGAGGAGGCCAAAGGCCUUUACACGAAGCAGAUGAGUUACUGCUUCAUUUUUCAAUAUUAUUCAAGUAGACAACGCCACGCUGACAGUUAAUAUAGAAAAUGGGGCAUCUCCUCCUCCGUGGAGAGAGGGGCUGAGGAGGGAUGGGAUGUCAGAGGCUCUGGCAAACCCAGAGAAGCAGCAGCUUUUCCUGUUGCUCUGCACUCUGGUUAGAGCAAAUGAACAAGAGAAUUUGCAAUUGGUAUCCGACGAGGUGCAAAUUAGCUAGUUACCACCAGCUCCUUCCUGAGCCUCAUUUCUUUUUGCUCUGGGACGAUGGGGGAGAGGAAAACCACUGAUGUACGUCUAACAGCGUUGUGCCUCCAAAGACCCACCAAGCAAAAAUAGCAUGUAGCUAUUCUAAAGCUGCAAAGCUGCUUAAGUUAGAAAGUUGGCAAAGCCUGAACGAGCUUGCUGACAGGGCAGGGAGACAAGAAGGUGGCAGAGUGAAAGCAAAGGCUUGGUGUCUCCCUCUCCCAAGCACCCAAGUGGUGGCACCCAAGAGCUACAGGAGAAAUGCAGUGGAGUUGUGCUGCCUGUGCCCUUCUUUUGCAAGAGGGGGAGAGCAACGCACGGAGAUACUGGGUGACCUUCUGGAAGCUGCUGGGUAUCUCUGUCACCUCUAUACAAGUGCAGAAAUGGAGGCAGAAGAGCAUGGAAGGUCUGUGACAACAUCUGACGUGGUUUCUGAGCACCCUGCUUCUCACCUCGGAGCCUCAGCCGCAGGACACUCUGUUUUCUUGCAGCCAAGGAGAAGUUGGAGGUAGAGAAAAUGAAGAAACUGUUGGUAGCUGCCAUUUCUCAUGGAAAAAAUGGAGUGGUAUUGUCUAUUUUUAUAAUAGGUUUUUCAGAAAGUCUGCCAGGAUUGAUUUUAAAACUGUAGAAUUAGAGAAUCUCUGACAUCGCCAGGUCAGUUGCUCCAAAGGUUAAUAAUUUCUAUUAAAAACAACCCUUUGCUUCUCACACAGUGUUUGGGGAUGGGGAAUGAAGGCAUGGGUCUGCUCUCCUCUCUGCUUUUUACUUUGCUGGCUGCCAAAACCAGAAUUUCUUCCAGAAUCUCCACAUACUGAUGGUGCAAGUGGACAAUUCAACACUGCUCCCACAUGCCCAGAUGUGAUGGGGGCUGACCUCCCCACCUAAAUAAAUCUAAAUAAAUCUCCUCUGCCCUGCUAGGAGCUCACGUGUGAAAACCCUGCAGCAGGGCCGGUGGCAGCCUGCCCUCCUAGGGGAGUAUUUUGCAAGCUAGAAAAGAAAAGCUUAAAACCAUCAGGAUGUCUCACUGUCUGAGAAAAUCUAUCUGAGAUUAUUCCGAGCCUUGUUCCCAAUCAACCCGAGGCGACGGGAGAAUUGCAUGCUCCUGUGAUUUAAUCAAGAAGGACGCAGCGUGGUCCAGCCGCUGUUCGGCUGCUGCUCAGAGCACAGCUGUGGCAGCCGGGCAAAGCCAUUCCCAAAAAGCAGCAAACGGGCCUGAGGGGAUCAACCGCCUGAAGAAAUGCUUAGGCUGCACCCUGCUUAGCCCCUCCGCUCACAAAACGGCCGGCUAAUAACAGGCAGAUCCUCAAAUCACCAUUGAAGGUGUUGUGAGGGAAUGGCCUCACUCUGCUAACUUUCAAUAAUCGGCGAAGCACCAGCAAUAGAGUUUGUGCACUGCGGUGGAAGAGAUCUAUUAAGAGUACUUUCCAAGCCUGUGCUGCUGGGGAGAAGAGUUAAUUGAAACUAUAGUGCUUAUUUUAAUUGUGUCUGUCCAUAAGCUUUAGCUGGGAUUGCUGUGCCGAGCUGGCUUCCCCACUCCGAUGGCUCCGGCUGGUGGUACAGUAUCAGCAGCUUUGGAUUUAUUAUCCUAAAGUACAGCAGGACUUCAGGGCCGACCAGAAACCAGCCCUUGCAGAGAGACAGGGCUGCCUUCAUCCUUUCCGCAGUGGGCUCUUAGGGCCAUGGGGUUUUCCUCCAUCACUGCUCCCACCCAGGGCCGGUCCAUAUCUCCACGUCCAGCCAUGCCUCCCUCCAGGUAAAUAAGGAUUUUGCCCUGCAGGAGGGUCUGGCUGCUGCUGUGCUGCCCAGGAGUGCUGCUCCACAUUUCCAGCCUGAAAAUACCCACCAUGAAGAGGGUGGCCUUUACAAGUCACCUUACCCCUGCCACCUCACCAGGUGCCUGCCCCAGCUUUGCUCCUCGCCCCCCGUGCCCUGCAGGGAGGUGAUGCUGUGCAGGCAAGCCCUGCGCUCGCUCAGCCCGCGCCGGCACAGGGAAGGCAACCUUGUGCAAAUUACACUGAGUGUAAAUUAUCCUGAUUUCAAAAGGGCUCUGCUGUGCUGAGAAAACAUAAACUGGUUUUAAGGCUACGCGGGAACCAAGCUUGCUGUUUUAAAAAUCUGAUCACCUUGAGCUCGGGACCCCUGGGAGGUUUCCAAAGUCUCCAGCAGAGCCUUGCUUUGUUUGCGUGGAUUAAAAAUGUAAAUAUAUUUAGGCUAUGAAUGCAGAAUGGGGAGAAAAUAAAUGAUUAAAAAAUAUUAUGCAUUUCCGAUUUUUAGAUUUAUGCUCUUUCUCAUAAAAGCAUGAAUGACAUUUAUUUGGCUGGCUGCAUAAUCCAUGUUAACAAGACAAUUAGUAUGUGCUGAAAGUUAUUAUUUUCCUCGGCACGUCAAAGUCAGGGCUGCUGCUGGAUUUGGAAUGGAGCCUUGAUUCAUUUCUUCUUUGUGGUAAAAGAUAAUAUUGAAUUUUUCUCCAAAGAUCUUGACAGCAUGUAAUUAAUACUAUUUUUUUAAAAACUUUUUUUUUUUUUUCCUUCCCUGCCUUAAAUAAAAUGGAGCAAAACACAACAACCUAGCUGGGGAAAAA